Molecule: non-coding RNA, 72 nt
Organism: Danionella cerebrum
Lineage: Eukaryota; Metazoa; Chordata; Actinopteri; Cypriniformes; Danionidae
Source: the annotation of a GenBank genome assembly
GCCCAUAUGGUCUAGUGGUUAGGAUUCUUGCUUUUCACACAGGUGGCCCAGGAUUAACUCCCAGGAUGAAAA